This 353-nucleotide unclassified non-coding RNA is filed under the name Hevea brasiliensis (rubber tree). The record is from RNAcentral. Lineage: Eukaryota; Viridiplantae; Streptophyta; Magnoliopsida; Malpighiales; Euphorbiaceae.
CCUCAGACAUGUGCUUGUGCAAAGCUUAAUGGCUGUGAUUUCCCCUAUGUGCAUCGGGAUGGUGGCAGGCUUAUUGAAGCCAAGGAUAUUGUUUUUGAGUGUGGUCCAAAUUGUGGCUGUGGACCUCAUUGUGUCAAUCGAACAUCUCAAAGAGGAUUGAAGUAUCGUUUUGAGGUUUUUCGUACCCCAAAAAAAGGUUGGGCUGUUCGAUCGUGGGAUUUCAUACCUUCUGGGGCACCAGUCUGCGAGUAUGUGGGAGUACUAAUGAAAACAGAAGACUUGGAUAGUGUCUCUGAGAAUAAUUAUAUUUUUGACAUAGACUGCUUGCAGACAAUGAGGGGGAUUGGUGGAAG